UUCAUACAGGAGGGGUGAAGAAUUAACGCACUGUAUAAGAAUGAAUGGACAAAAUAAGUAUAAGGAGUUCCAUUCGUGGGAUUACGAUCCUGUCGAACAGGUCGCCCCUAUUGACAAGCUGAAGUACCAUAUAAAUCUUGGUCUUGCUAGCAGCGAUCUGAAUCAAGAAGUAGUAAAAACAUGAUCAGUUACAAUACAAAUCAUAGAUGACAGGUUGAGCUCAAAACAAUAAUGCAAUUUUGGAUUUGCAGUAAUUGCAUCCCAGACCUAGAAUUGGAAAGAAAAUGAGAUGAAAAUAGAUGGUAACUUUACAACUGCACAUGAUAUUCACUCAUUUAGAAUAAAACAUCGCAAGUUUUUAAUAUCAGAUUAGUAAUCACAACAUCAAUUUAAAUAUGUUCCUGAUCACAGAUUCAGAGAUCAAUGCCUCUUGCAGGGCGCUAGCUACAACAGUUGCUACGAAAUCUCUUCGUUCAAAAGUUUCCUAAAACUUGGUAGAAAUUGUAUUAUAAACUCUGGUAAAGUCAGCAUCACUAAAUGAAGACUGGGAGCCAAUAAAGUAAAACUACAAUUGCUUACCUUGCUUAUUUUUGUGAGUUUAUCAGGAAGUGCAUAAAGGAAUGCUGCCAUCAAUCCAUUUAGGACCGUGAAAAUGUUAUUUUUUGAGCUGUGGUCUUUGCCUUUACCGAGGUAGGGGGUUCAUAUUCUUUCGAGGCUAUAUGGGCCUCUUGCCAACAGACGAAUCAUUGUUAUUGGAUUGUUCCAUUGUAGCAUCACUUAGCUGCCUCGACAUUGCUUCCUGAUGAUAGAGACAAAGAAGAAAUGUUUACUGUACAUGAACAAACACAUUAUGCUAUACACCACAAGGACACAACUCUCUGUUGUACACAUGCAAAAUGGUUACACAACAAUGCUACCUAAAUGGGUGACAUCAAUCUUUUAUCUAUUCAUGGAUCAGUUAUGUGGGAAGACAACUGAUAGAGUGCUUGACACCUUGUACUUCGUUAUUGUCACAAAAUCAAAUAAUCAUAUUGCAGUAGAUUGAAACCUGAUGGAAAUAAACACAAUAAUCUCCUCUAAUCCUAGGCUGUUGUUUAUAUAACAAAAUCAAAUAAUUAUAGACUGUUAUUCACCGAUUUUUCACUAACAAAUAUAAGCUCAUCACAAACCAAAGGAUAAGAAUUAUCAAACCUGCAUGACAAUAGAUGCUGAAAUUUGAUGACUUAUCCCCAGCUAGAAAAAGAAAGGUUUGGUUCUGAGAAGAAAUCGCCAAGGUCAUAUGCACGAAGGUAACUACAGGCUAUUAGAUUCCCCAAAAAAACCCAGGCACAGCUCGCCAGCGUGUAAUCCGAGGGAGGAAUGGAAUAGAC
This 1370-nucleotide long non-coding RNA is filed under the name Zea mays. Its description in RNAcentral is "long non-coding RNA (ZMAY_LNC002267)". The record is from RNAcentral. Lineage: Eukaryota; Viridiplantae; Streptophyta; Magnoliopsida; Poales; Poaceae.